GUCUGGAGAUGCUACGUUUGAUGCUGCUGCCAGCGGUCCAAACCUAUCAUAUGGGGAUUCUAGAUCAAAUUGUCUCAGUCACCGGAACAGUGAUCCUUUUCAUAAUGGUGAUAUAAACCCUGGCUGCCGACGAACACCCUAGCAUUUGCCACUUGCUCCUCCAUCAUCUAAAUCUGUUUAUAUAUUCUAAGGUUUAUUUGACCAUUACACUUGAGAAAAUGGCCAAAGGGGAUGCUCAGAAGCUCUACUUCACUGUUCCAAUAUUUGAGACACAUCCUCCCUAGUACUUCAUCCACGCAAUUUCAGAUUCAUGGAUGCAUUCAGAGUGUUUCUAUACUAUGUCCUUCCGGAACCUCAUGCUCCCUGAGGCUCUUACAACUUAUAUGGAACUCCUUGACUUGAAACCACUUCCUGUGACUGCACUUGCAAAUGGAACUUAUGAAGAAUUGUACAGAUACAUACAUUUUAACCCCAUACAGACGAAGGCUUUUGAUGUGCUAUAUCACACGGACCAAAAUGGGGAGAAAAGAAGA
Long non-coding RNA from Salvia splendens (bonfire salvia), 533 nucleotides. RefSeq lists it as uncharacterized. The record is from RefSeq and is a predicted model, not a curated record. The transcript is spliced from 4 exons. Lineage: Eukaryota; Viridiplantae; Streptophyta; Magnoliopsida; Lamiales; Lamiaceae.